Molecule: non-coding RNA, 82 nt
Filed under: Dethiosulfatibacter aminovorans
Lineage: Bacteria; Bacillati; Bacillota; Tissierellia
Also listed under: 1 other name
Description: c-di-GMP sequence
Rfam family: c-di-GMP-I riboswitch aptamer
About the family: GEMM was predicted in a large-scale screen for bacterial structured RNA regulatory elements. Genes associated with GEMM are involved in a diverse array of functions, including chemotaxis regulation, signal transduction, secretion and chitin.
Source: RNAcentral
UCCCGAUAAUAGCAAACCAUUCGAAAGGGUGGGACGCAAAGUCACAGGCCUAAGGAAUUUCUAUGGCGGCUGGAUUGCCGAA